This 253-nucleotide ribosomal RNA is filed under the name uncultured bacterium. RNAcentral's name for it is "partial 16S ribosomal RNA". It matches the Rfam family "Bacterial small subunit ribosomal RNA", at positions 524 to 776 of the family's 1533-position model. The record is from RNAcentral.
GACGUAGGAGACGAGCGUUGUCCGGAUUUACUGGGCGUAAAGCGCGCGCAGGCGGCCCCGCAGGUCGGUUGUGAAAGCCCCCGGCUCAACCGGGCGGAGGCGAGCGAAACCGCGGGGCUGGAGGCUGGCAGAGGGUGGUGGAAUUCCCGGUGUAGUGGUGAAAUGCGUAGAGAUCAGGAGGAACACCGGUGGCGAAGGCGGGUCUCUGGGCAACUACUGACGCUGAGGAGCGAAAGCGUGGGGAGCGAACAGG